This 1441-nucleotide long non-coding RNA is filed under the name Carassius auratus (goldfish). RNAcentral describes it as "lncRNA (ENSCARG00000019651.1)". Lineage: Eukaryota; Metazoa; Chordata; Actinopteri; Cypriniformes; Cyprinidae. The record is from RNAcentral.
AUGAAGAUGAAGACCUCCCAUGUGCUGUGGAUCGGGAUCUUUCUGUCGGGAUUUAGGGAUUCAGAUGGAAUUGAUAUACCUGGAUAUUUCGGAAAAGAUGCCACCAUCACAUGUUCCCACGGCUGGGCUUCAACCAAUAUAAAGUAUUUCUGCAGAGCUCCAUGUAAAGACGAAGAUAUUUUAGUGAAAUCUGACCAGUCACCUACAGGAAGAUACACACUGAAGGAUUCAGGAGAUGGCACCUUCACUGUGAACAUCACUGAUCUACAGGAGUCAGACUCUGGGAUUUACUGGUGUGGGGUGGAGAGAACUGGUUUAGACACAUAUACAAAAGUCAAACUGACAGUAUCUAAAGAUCCACGCGAAAGCAUCACUACAUCAACAGAACCAUACACAUACAUACAAACAUCCACAGAUUCACACACAGUUACACCAGAAGCUCAUUCACAAUCAACAUCUGUCACAGCACGCAAAACCACCAGCUAUUCAAGCCCUGAUGACAUCACACUCUCACCCUCAAUAGCAGCAUCUGUGAACACUACCAUAUACAUACUAUAUGCUGUCGGUGGUCUGCUCUUAGCAGUAAUCAUGCUUGCAGUUGGACUGAUGACUGUUCAUCAAUACAGGAAAAAAAACAAGACAUCAGAAAGUAUGUGCACAUAUAUCAAUGAAUCCCUGUGUAAUAUCAACCAUUUAAAACCUGUUUAAAUUAAACAAAACCAUUACUAUGUUUCUCCUUGUUCUGUGCAUUAAUAUUAAUUCAUGUUGACAGGCUUCACGCUGCCCAACCAAAGCAAAGAUAACAAGGUGAGUAAUGCAAAAGACUGUGUACAUCACACACUGACCUUCAAAAAGGAUCCAAAAAAUAUCAAAGUUCAUAUUAUUUCGUAAUGACCCAGUGCACUUGUGUUGUCUUGAUGCAGAAUGAAGGUGUAUAUGAGAAUGAUCUUCCUUGGACAAAAAGCACACAGGUGAAACCUAUCAACAUGUCUAUGACCAGACAAGUGAAAAAGAGCCAAGAAGAUGCAGUCUACGGGAAUUCACAUGAACUUUAUGGAAAUCUCUGACCAUAUUGUUAAGCAAUGAAAUUCAGAGAACCAGUUUAAACCUGAUUGUUAUAAGAUCAAAAUCACAUUGAUUCUGUUUCUUUCCCUUUCGCUUUAUAUAUAUAUACAUUUGUCAUUCCACUUGUAGACAAUUCCUGCUCCUGAGUUUAUUUUGUAGAAUCAUAUUUCACAUGGAUGUUUGGUUGUAUUUUGCAUUACUACUCAUAUCAAUAUAAAAAUAUUACCAUUAUACAGAUAAAAUAAAACUUUAUAAUCUGUAUGUGUGUUUUUCUCAACAAUUUGCAUAUUUAUUUAUUAAUUAGCUAAGUAGUAUUGUGCAGUGUACUUCUCAAAGUCAUCUUUAAAGCUGCUGUGUAAUUUUAUGCUGAAACCAU